UCCUUGGUUUGAGCCACUUUCUUAGAUCGGGCCUUGAACCUCUGCUUCACUUUCCCAAAUGAAUCUCCAUUGGAAACUAUCUCCUCACCCGAGUCUUCGUUGCUAGACAUUUUCUUGNNNGUCUUCUUCUUCCUCGCUAUUGAAAGAGGCGCGCAAGAGACGUAAAGUGGGGAAAGGAUGGGCUUGCAGAGGACACAGAUCUCUGUCAGAAAUAAAG
RNAcentral lists this unclassified non-coding RNA (217 nucleotides) under Hevea brasiliensis (rubber tree). The record is from RNAcentral. Lineage: Eukaryota; Viridiplantae; Streptophyta; Magnoliopsida; Malpighiales; Euphorbiaceae.